RNAcentral lists this ribosomal RNA (429 nucleotides) under Gemmatimonadota bacterium. RNAcentral describes it as "Gemmatimonadetes bacterium partial 16S ribosomal RNA". It matches the Rfam family "Bacterial small subunit ribosomal RNA", at positions 355 to 776 of the family's 1533-position model. Lineage: Bacteria; Pseudomonadati; Gemmatimonadota. The record is from RNAcentral.
UAGGGAAUCUUCGGCAAUGGACGAAAGUCUGACCGAGCAACGCCGCGUGAGUGAAGAAGGUUUUCGGAUCGUAAAACUCUGUUGUUAGAGAAGAACAAGGACGUUAGUAACUGAACGUCCCCUGACGGUAUCUAACCAGAAAGCCACGGCUAACUACGUGCCAGCAGCCGCGGUAAUACGUAGGUGGCAAGCGUUGUCCGGAUUUAUUGGGCGUAAAGCGAGCGCAGGCGGUUUCUUAAGUCUGAUGUGAAAGCCCCCGGCUCAACCGGGGAGGGUCAUUGGAAACUGGGAGACUUGAGUGCAGAAGAGGGGAGUGGAAUUCCAUGUGUAGCGGUGAAGUGCGUAGAUAUAUGGAGGAACACCAGUGGCGAAGGCGGAUCUCUGGUCUGUAACUGACGCUGAGGCUCGAAAGCGUGGGGAGCAAACAGG